AAUCAACGCUGGCGGCGUGCCUAACACAUGCAAGUCGAACGAGAAAGUGACUUCGGUCACUGGACAGUGGCGUCCGGGUGAGUAACACGUGGGUAAUCUACCUUCGGGUGGGGAAUAACGUCUCGAAAGAGACGCUAAUACCGCAUAAUGCAGCGGCACCUUAUGGUGAAUAGUUGUUAAAGCGGGGGAUCGCAAGACCUCGCGCCUGAAGAGGAGCCUGCGGCAGAUAGCUUGUUGGUGAGGUAAUGGCCUACCAAGGCGACGACGGGUAGCCGGCCUGAGAGGGCGACCGGCCACACUGGGACUGAGACACGGCCCAGACUCCUACGGGAGGCAGCAGUGGGGAAUCUUGCGCAAUGGGCGAAAGCCUGACGCAGCGACGCCGCGUGAGGGAUGACGGCCU
This 403-nucleotide ribosomal RNA is filed under the name uncultured bacterium. RNAcentral's name for it is "bacterial SSU rRNA". It matches the Rfam family "Bacterial small subunit ribosomal RNA", at positions 32 to 417 of the family's 1533-position model. The record is from RNAcentral.